UACGAAGGGUGCAAGCGUUACUCGGAAUUAUUGGGCGUAAAGGGUUCGUAGGUGGCUUGUUAAGUCAGACGUGAAAUCCCUCAGCUUAACUGGGGAACUGCGUCUGAGACUGGCGAGCUCGAGUGCAGGAGAGGAACGCGGAAUUCCAGGUGUAGCGGUGAAAUGCGUAGAUAUCUGGAGGAACACCGGUGGCGAAGGCGGCGUUCUGGACUGCAACUGACACUGAUGAGCGAAAGCGAGGGGAGCAAACGGG
Molecule: ribosomal RNA, 253 nt
Filed under: uncultured bacterium
Lineage: Bacteria
Description: partial 16S ribosomal RNA
Rfam family: Bacterial small subunit ribosomal RNA
Source: RNAcentral